UACAGAGGGUGCAAGCGUUGUUCGGAAUUAUUGGGCGUAAAGGGCGCGUAGGCGGCCAUGCGUGUCUUCCGUGAAAUCCCUCGGCUCAACCGAGGACGUGCGGAAGAAACUGCAAGGCUCGAGUCCGGAAGAGGGGGGCGGAAUUCCCAGUGUAGCGGUGAAAUGCGUAGAUAUUGGGAGGAACACCAGUGGCGAAGGCGGUCCCCUGGGCCGGAACUGACGCUGAGGCGCGAAAGCGUGGGUAGCAAACGGG
This 253-nucleotide ribosomal RNA is filed under the name uncultured bacterium. Its description in RNAcentral is "partial 16S ribosomal RNA". It matches the Rfam family "Bacterial small subunit ribosomal RNA", at positions 524 to 776 of the family's 1533-position model. The record is from RNAcentral.